Molecule: long non-coding RNA, 1174 nt
Organism: Felis catus (domestic cat)
Lineage: Eukaryota; Metazoa; Chordata; Mammalia; Carnivora; Felidae
Exons: 3
Source: RefSeq, a predicted model, not a curated record
CACCCAGGCGCCCCCAUCACUGAAUGAUUUUAAGGAAAGUUUAAGAGACAGAACUUUUAUGAAACAAAUUUAUAAAGUGAUUUAAUAUCAAUUAUUUUCCCACGUACAUGUAUUUUAAGUGUCCUUAGUCAAUUUAGACUCCAACUACCAUAUUUUAGAUAUACUAAAGCUAAUUAAAAAAAGUAAAAGGUAUUCCAAGGGCAAAUGUGCUUCAUUAAAGUAGAUAAGAGGAAAUUUUUUGUAAAAAUCAGAAGGAGAGAUAUAAUCAGGGGUUUAUGGUUGAAGAGCUCAUUUUAUUAUGAAAUAGGGCAUAUUUCUUCAGUAAUUCUGCAGGUUUACUGUCACUGUAGUUAAGCAGAUGAGCCAUGCUAUUGAAGAAUAAACAGCAGAUAUGUUUGAAGUUAGUAUAAGAGGAAAAUGAAGUACGCAAUCCUUGAUGAAGUAAAAUGAAAAUGGGGAGAGCAAGUAUCAGUAUUUCAAAGAUUGAGAAAUAGAGAAACAAAGAUCCUCCUGAGGAAUUUUUCAACAGGUUCGAAAGUUCAGGCUAACACAACCCUGGCAAAUAAUACAUUUUGAUACUGGAAUUUUGGAUUGAACAUAUUUUAUUAGAUUCUGAGAAAGGAGAUACCUGGAUAACCUGGUGAUGAUGAUGAGUGUUUUACUAGAAUUACAGCAACUCUCUUCCGAGGAUGGCAUACUGACAGUGAACAUUAGGCAGUAAGAUCUUGACUCUUAUCAGUCGAAAGGUACGUUUUAUUUCAAAUAAUCUCAAUGUUUCAUGUGUAAAGUGGCUUGAGUUUUGUGAAGAUACGAUGGAAUUAGAUGAGAGUCCCCUAGUCCACCCUCAAGAAUGAGAACUACAGUUUACAGUUUACAAGUCAACCUUGUAUUAAGUAAACUAUAAUAGAUGAAUAGAUGUACAGUGGCUUCUUAUAUCACUAUCUCUUCUUUCCUAUCAGAGAACUCAUGUAAUAUGUAAUUUAGGUGCUAAGGACAUAGCCUUCUUUUUUCCAGCUCACCAUUGUGUCCCUUGUUUCUCCUUCCCCAUGUAAUCUGUACUGGGCUGCUUGGUUCUUGUUUCAGUAUCAUUACUGAACAGAGCACAUUAACAUUCAAAGCCUUUACUAAUUGAUUUCUCUGGACAUUUUGGCCACCUUUCAACUGGCUGUAGCUG